GGAAGGAUCAUUAACACGUUUCCAAACGUUUAACAACAACUUCGUGAACUUGUAACCUCCCUCUUCGACCAGAUGCGUGUACCGCCACAGAAGCCCAGUUUGUGGACAAACGAUCGGAAAAAUAGCUAUUCAUUUAGCUAUUGAGUAUCCUCGGGGCUGCGGACACUGGAAUGCCGUGAGCAAUCACAUCAGGUAGUUGUAGGCCAAUUUUUAACCUUCCACUUUAACCCCUUUAACCUGCAUCUUUUGGAUGCCGCGCUAUUGACUGAUAUGACUAGUGCUUGACUGAACCGCUUGCGGUUUGGACCUUGUCUCUAUGUCAGAGUUAUGUAACUAAGCACAACUCUUAGCACCGGAUAUCUUGGUUCUCGCAACGAUGAAGAACGCAGCGAAAUGCGAUAUGUAAUGCGAAUUGCAGAAUUCAGUGAAUCAUCCAAUCUUUGAACGCAAAUGGCGCUCUCGGGAUAGUCCUGGGAGCACACCUCUCUGAGUAUCGCCUACACCUCAACUCAGCCCUUUGCGGCUGGAGAAUGAGAGUCUGAGCACGGCUUAAUUGACCGAGCUCAGUCUCUUGAAAGUGAUGGAGCUCAGAGCCUCUGUGAUGCCUGCUACUGCUUCGGCAUUAGCUAGCCUCAGCAGCUGCUACUACACAAGACUAAGCUUAGUCAAGUGACGUGGAUAAUAGUUGAGAGCCUUCGGGCACUCUACUCUGAUACGUCUGCUCAGCUAAUGCUUCUGAUUUGAGUGGUAGAUUAACGGUUGUUGUGUGUGAAAGCAACUCAGUGCUCUAAGUGUCAGAAUUGAAUGGUUAGUAACUUCGGUUGCUAGCUCUCUGUUGAGAUCUCAGAUGAAGUGAGAAGACCCCCUGAAUUUAAGCAUAUUAAUAAGGGAGGAAAAGAAACUAACUAGGAUUCCCUCAGUAACGGCGAGUGAAGCGGGAAUAGCUCAAGUUGAGAAUCGGGUAGCCAUGCGGUUCCCCGAGUUGUAAGCUAGAGACGUGUGAUCAGCGUGUGGCGCAGGUUGGAGUCCUUUGGAACAAGGCAUCACAGAGGGUGAGAAUCCCGUCCUGGGCCUGUCCGCCGCCGCGUACGAUGCAUGUUCAACGAGUCGAGUUGUUUGGGAUUGCAGCUCUAAGCAGGUGGUAAGUCUCAUCGAAAGCUAAAUAUAGGCGAGAGACGAUAGCGAACAAGUACCGUGAGGAAAGAUGAAAAGAACUUUGAAAAGAGAGUUAAACAGUACUUGAAAGUGCUAAGAGGGAAGCGCUGGAAGCCAGUGUGUGGACUAGCCAUCUUUUCCAACAGGCACGGGGAGCAUGCGGGCAGGUGUGGGUAACCCACUUGUCAGUAGUCGACUCGGGUCUGUUGGCUCCUGUGGUUAGUCCGAGGUCAGAAUCCAUUCGAAUCGGGGAGACAGCUAGCAGGAAGGUAGGGUCUAGCAAUAGAUCUGUUAUAGCCUGUUAGCAAUACCUCGGCUUGGAUGGAGGCAACAUGAAAUAGAGCGCCACUAGGCGUGGCGGUUAGGUCCUGCUGGUUCAUUAGCGCUUGGAUAGCAAUGCUAUGCGGUGCUAAUGAGUUGGUACUGAUCUGGCUGUCCGUCGGCUCUAUCGUGAUUCUGACGAAAUGGCUUCCAUCGACCCGUCUUGAAACACGGACCAAGGAGUCUAACAUCUAUGCGAGUAGUGGGGUGCAAAACCCGCAUGCGUAAUGAAAGUAAAGGUAGCUUCGGCUACUGAGGUAGGAACCUGGCCGCGAGGUUAGGGGCACUAUCGACCGAUCCUCACUUGUGAUGCGAUUUGAGUACGAGCAUAUCUGUUGGGACCCGAAAGAUGGUGAUCUAUGCCUGAACAGGGUGAAGCCAGGGGAAACUCUGGUGAAGCUCGUAGCGAUACUGACGUGCAAAUCGUUCGUCUGAUUUGGGUAUAGGGGCGAAAGACUAAUCGAACCAUCUAGUAGCUGGUUCCUC
RNAcentral lists this unclassified non-coding RNA (1962 nucleotides) under uncultured fungus. Its description in RNAcentral is "sequence contains 18S rRNA gene, ITS1, 5.8S rRNA gene, ITS2, 28S rRNA gene". The stretch from base 839 to 1962 matches the Rfam family "Eukaryotic large subunit ribosomal RNA", at positions 1 to 960 of the family's 3401-position model. Lineage: Eukaryota; Fungi. The record is from RNAcentral.